AAUAUUGUAUCCAAAAAAAAGACAAAUACAAAACUUUUUUUUUAUUAAAUAAAUUAAAAAAUUAGAGUAAAUAAAAAGUAUUUCAGCAUAUCUUAAAGCUUAAUAAACAUAACCAAAGAUAUUUACUCUGCAAGAAAAGUAAAAUAGUAUAUAAGUUAAUAAUGUAGAAUACAUGCACUAGGAAGGAAAGAGAGAAAAAGUAAAGGAAAAGGGACAGAAGCGUGGACAAUGGACCUAACUCACGAAGCGCGCAACAAGAACAUAUGCAAUUGUUUUAGACUUACCUAAUGCCCCAAUUCACAAUAUUUUAUACAUAUGAAGCAUAAAUUCACUAGGUCCCCUCUCCCCACUUUCUU
RNAcentral lists this long non-coding RNA (356 nucleotides) under Cicer arietinum (chickpea). RNAcentral describes it as "long non-coding RNA (CARI_LNC000836)". The record is from RNAcentral. Lineage: Eukaryota; Viridiplantae; Streptophyta; Magnoliopsida; Fabales; Fabaceae.